RNAcentral lists this long non-coding RNA (685 nucleotides) under Dasypus novemcinctus (nine-banded armadillo). RNAcentral's name for it is "lncRNA (ENSDNOG00000052482.1)". The record is from RNAcentral. Lineage: Eukaryota; Metazoa; Chordata; Mammalia; Cingulata; Dasypodidae.
CUCUGUUUUAAUGACAAUAAAGCAUUUAUCUAUGAUACUGUAUUGGUUACUGGCCAUUUCAGGUACCACUGAAAGGAGGGACAUGAGCAGAAGAGUUCACUCUUUAAGGUCAUAGGGUAUAAAAUGAGUUUUGUUUUAUGGGUCCCAACCUUUAUUAGAUUCCAUACAUUCUCUCUUCCUACAGAAUAUACAUAAUUGCAAUAACUAAGAAAAAGUCAAACAGGCAAAUCAGUGUGCUUGAUGAUCUGCAUAAAACUUUUAAUGCAAUUGAAGAAAAAAAAAAUCAGUGCCAAAAAACGAUACUGCAGGAACAACAGAAGAUCCAGCAUGUAAUGGGUUACUCAAGUCUCCCCAAAGCCCUCGCCCUAUAGUCGUUUCAUCUAGAAUGCGGCCCUCGAUGUAUUUAUUUAACAUUGUGCUGCAUUUCAGUGGGUUUAUGGGGGGUGGGGUGGGGAUUACAAAUAAAUGCUAUCGUCCAUUAACAAAGGCGGGCAUUAUGGCUUAUCCUGAAAAUCCAGUUCUGAAGGAGCCGACACGCCUAGAACAAUCGGCGCAGCCCCGCACCCAGCCUCCAGCGCAGCAUGCCAGGCCUGGAGGAGGGCAGGUGCGGCUCUCAUCUGCGGAUCAGCUUCUGGAGCACAGCAGCUGUUCUCAGUUCCUGCAGCUCAGAGGCAGUGUUGCCCAA